CAAGUCGAGCGAGGCGUGUAGCAAUACACAGUCGAGCGGCGAACGGGUGAGUAACACGUGGAUUAUCUGCCCUAAGGUGGGGGAUAACCCGGGGAAACUCGGGCUAAUACCGCAUAAUACCGAGAGGUCAAAGGGGGCUCGCAAGGGCUCUCGCCAAUGGAGGAGUCCGCGUCCGAUUAGCUAGUUGGUAGGGUAAUGGCCUACCAAGGCGACGAUCGGUAGCCGGCCUGAGAGGGUGAUCGGCCACACUGGAACUGAGACACGGUCCAGACUCCUACGGGAGGCAGCAGUGGGGAAUUUUGCGCAAUGGGCUAACGCCUGACGCAGCAACGCCGCGUGGAGGAUGAAGGUCUUUGGAUUGUAAACUCCUGUCAGCAGGGAAAAAGCGAUAGGUGCUCAUACCACCUAAAGUUGAUUGUACCUGCAGAGGAAGCCCCGGCUAACUCUGUGCCAGCAGCCGCGGUAAUACAGAGGGGGCAAGCGUUAUUCGGAAUUAUUGGGCGUAAAGGGCGCGUAGGCGGCCUGGCAAGUGAAAGGUGAAAUCCCUCGGCUUAACCGAGGAACUGCCUUUCAGACUGCUUGGCUUGAGACCGGGAGAGGUGAGUGGAAUUCCCAGUGUAGCGGUGAAAUGCGUAGAUAUUGGGAGGAACACCAGUGGCGAAGGCGGCUCACUGGACCGGUACUGACGCUGAGGCGCGAAAGCGUGGGGAGCAAACGGGAUUAGAUACCCCGGUAGUCCACGCCGUAAACGAUGAGUGCUUGGUGUAGCGGGUAUCGACCCCUGCUGUGCCGAAGUCAACACAUUAAGCACUCCGCCUGGGGAGUACGGUCGCAAGGCUGAAACUCAAAGGAAUUGACGGGGGCCCGCACAAGCGGUGGAGCAUGUGGUUUAAUUC
This 896-nucleotide ribosomal RNA is filed under the name uncultured Acidobacteriota bacterium. RNAcentral describes it as "bacterial SSU rRNA". It matches the Rfam family "Bacterial small subunit ribosomal RNA", at positions 58 to 952 of the family's 1533-position model. The record is from RNAcentral. Lineage: Bacteria; Pseudomonadati; Acidobacteriota.